AGUCAGUUUUUCCCCCUCCCUCUCUCUCUGUCUAACCAGCUGCCCUGAAGAAGAAUCCCAAUAUCACGUAUCAGUUAGAUGACCAAGUUCAGGGCCCGUGCAACUGCAGCAGCUCGGCUCUGGAGACCGGAUCCGUUGGGGAUACGAUGGACCACACCCACAUAGUGAUUAGACCGUCUGAUUGGACGCCAUGUGGACGUCUUGACCACUACCAUGUCUUUCAUGCAAAUUUAAGAAGCUUCCGACUCUCCAUUUGCGAGCGUGUCGACCAGGGCUGACGUUAAUGGAGGUGGAGAGGAGCGAACACAUCAGAACGGCGGGAUCUCUCUUGUCCUCCACCCUUCUCCAGCCCUUGGGCGUCUUCAGCAUCAGAUGUCAUCCUGCCAAAGACAAAACAUCUGACAAGUCUCUCCGGACAUUGAUGUAUGGACUGUGAACUCCUGACCCAAUGAAAAGCAACAAGAGGGACUGUUGCCGCACAGCAUGGAGCAUGUCAGGGGUCACAAUGGUGAGUUAACAACCUGCCAGGCUGUAGUAGCACUGAAUAUACAGUGACACGCACAGGUUUGACGCAAAUGACGGAAUCAGUCCUUUAAUGUACGUCAGGCCAUCACUAAAAUCUGCAGAUCUCAGUCUAUGCACUAUAAUAACCUUUGAGAAAACAUGCUCCUAAUUUUAAACUAUACAAUUAAUGAACAGAGGAGUCUGUCAGUUUCCAUAACCCGAAUCCUACUGAAAACUAAACUACCCCUGCUACGAUUUAACCUAAGGUAAAAUAAUAUGAAAACACAUCAUGACAACGAGACACAUGGAUAAAUGCUUCGAUGAGCCGCUGUCUGAUCCCCGUGCUGUCGCGCUCCGCAUUUGCUUCCAUGCUGUUUGGAGAAACUGACCAACGGCUCGAGGCGCUGCUGCCGUCGCCCCCUCAGCGCCCGCUGCUCCACACUCCGCAAUAAUAAUAACAAUAAUCUUAAUGACCUUCUACUGUGUCCAUUUUUUCCUCUUUCCUUGCGUCCUGACCUCUCUCUCUUAUCCCCGUUACUUCCACUACAGCGGAGAUGGCUAAACACCCCCUCUUUAGCCCGAGGGUGAAGCCAAUAGGUCCACAGUGUGUGAGUCACAGUGUCUCCCAUCUUGGAUCUCCACCUCAGCGUGUUUCCAUAUCCUGCCUCUGGGGCUGCAACACGGACACCGCUCUCCUCCUCCUCCU
This 1210-nucleotide long non-coding RNA is filed under the name Betta splendens (Siamese fighting fish). RNAcentral's name for it is "lncRNA (ENSBSLG00000014141.1)". The record is from RNAcentral. Lineage: Eukaryota; Metazoa; Chordata; Actinopteri; Anabantiformes; Osphronemidae.